AGAGGGUGAGAAUCCCGUCUGGGAUGGGCGGCCGCGCCCGUGUGAAGCUCCUUCGACGAGUCGAGUUGUUUGGGAAUGCAGCUCUAAGCGGGUGGUAAAUUUCAUCUAAAGCUAAAUACUGGCCGGAGACCGAUAGCGCACAAGUAGAGUGAUCGAAAGAUGAAAAGCACUUUGAAAAGAGAGUUAAACAGCACGUGAAAUUGUUGAAAGGGAAGCGUUGUCCACCAGACUCGCCCGGGGGGGUUCAGCCGGCACGUGUGCCGGUGUACUCCUCUCCGGGCGGGCCAGCAUCGGUUUGGGCGGCUGGUGAAAGGCCCCGGGAAUGUGCCACCCUUCGGGGUGCCUUAUAGCCCGGGGUGCCAUACAGCCAGCCUGGACCGAGGCCCGCGCUUCGGCGAGGAUGCUGGCGUAAUGGUGGUCAACGGCCCGUCUUGAAACACGGACCAAGGAGUCUAACAUCUAUGCGAGUGUUCGGGUGUCAAACCCGUCCGCGCAGUGAAAGCGAACGGAGGUGGGAGCCCCUCGGGGCGCACCAUCGACCGAUCCUGAUGUCUUCGGAUGGAUUUGAGUAAGAGCAUAGCUGUUGGGACCCGAAAGAUGGUGAACUAUGCCUGAAUAGGGCGAAGCCAGAGGAAACUCUGGUGGAGGCUCGCAGCGGUUCUGACGUGCAAAUCGAUCGUCAAAUUUGGGUAUAGGGGCGAAAGACUAAUCGAACCAUCUGGUAGCUGGUUCCUGCCGAAGUUUCCCUCAGGAUAGCAGUAACGACAUCAGUUUUAUGAGGUAAAGCGAAUGAUUAGAGGCCUUGGGGUUGAAACAACCUUAACCUAUUCUCAAACUUUAAAUAUGUAAGAAGCCCUUGUUGCUUAGUUGAACGUGGGCGUUAGAAUGAAACGUUACUAGUGGGCCAUUUUUGGUAAGCAGAACUGGCGAUGCGGGAUGAACCGAACGCGAGGUUAAGGUGCCGGAAUGCACGCUCAUCAGACACCACAAAAGGUGUUAGUUCAUCUAGACAGCCCGACGGUGGCCAUGGAAGUCGGAAUCCGCUAAAGGAGUGUGUAACAACUCACGGGCCGAAUGAACUAGCCCUGAAAAUGGAUGGCGCUCAAGCGUGCUACCCAUACCUCGCCGUCGGGGUAGAAACGAUGCCCCGACGAGUAGGCAGGCGUGGGGGUCCGUGACGAAGC
Molecule: ribosomal RNA, 1184 nt
Filed under: Talaromyces pinophilus
Lineage: Eukaryota; Fungi; Ascomycota; Eurotiomycetes; Eurotiales; Trichocomaceae
Description: LSU rRNA
Rfam family: Eukaryotic large subunit ribosomal RNA
Source: RNAcentral